This is a long non-coding RNA of Gasterosteus aculeatus aculeatus (three-spined stickleback), 1271 nucleotides long. Lineage: Eukaryota; Metazoa; Chordata; Actinopteri; Perciformes; Gasterosteidae. The record is from Ensembl.
CUGAGAAGGGAGUGGUUCAGGGAACGGUGCCGGGGGAGGCAUAAUCAGCCUCAGGUGGGACUAAUCAAGCUGUGUAUUCUACCUUUAAGUAGGAGAAAUCUGGCGCCAGCGAGGGAGUGCUGAGAGGAGGCUGGAGCGACAACAACGGCUGUACGACAGAGGGGCCAGGCUGCGACGAUUCACACCGGGAGAAAAAGUACUUGUAUUACUUCCUACUUCCAACUCUAAACUCCUAGCCAAGUGGCAACGGCCCUUCGAGGUCACACGGCAGGUGGGGGACGUCGACCACGAGGUGGUGUGGUCUGACGGGGGCGGGGGUACACAGAUAUACCACCUGAACCUCCUGAAAGCCUGGAGGGGAGUGGAGUCUGUCUCUCUGGUCUCUACAGUAUCGGAAAGGGAGGAGCUGGGGCUGGAGGUUCCAAAAGCAGGCCGGACCGACCUCAUACACAGUAUCGAGAAGCCCCCGGGCGUGACUGUGAGGUCACUACCCUACAGGUUGCCCGAACACAAGAAAGAAGUGGUUCGGAGGGAAUUGGUAAGUAUGUUGGAGUUGGGUAAUAGAGUCCAACAGUGCCUGGUGCAGCCCCAUCGUCCUUGUGGCUAAGAAGGAUGGAUCCGUACGGUUCUGCGUGGACUAUCGCCCCGGGUCGACGAGCUCCUGGACCGGCUAGGCACUGCACGUUUCUUCACGACACUGGAUUUAACCAAGGGCUACUGGCAGAUUCCUCUGUCGCCAGAGUCCAAGGAGAAAACGGCAUUCUCCACCCCGUACGGUUUGUACCAAUUUACCACACUUCCCUUCGGGUUGUUUGGGGCCCCGGCCACGUUUUAGCGCCUCAUGGAUUGGGUGCUGCAUCCGCACGCUGCAUAUGCCACCGCCUACCUGGACCAUGUCAUUAUCCACAGCACCACCUGGGAGGAGCAUGUGCGGCAGGUGGGCGCAGUGCUGGAGGCGCUGGAACGGGCGGGGCUCACCGCCAACCCGGGGAAGUGUGCAGUUGGACGGGUGGAGGUACGGUAUUUGGGGUACCACUUGGGGGGCGGGCAGGUGCACCCUGAGGUGGACAAGACGGCAGCCAUCGCGGCCUGCCCGCCCAAGGCAAAAAAAGAGGUGAGGCGGUUCUUGGGGCACCCUGGGCUACUACCUCCUGGGACGCUCUUUCACCCGCUGUUCGGACCACGCCCCGCUCCAAUGGCUCCACCGCAUGAAAGAUGCCAACCCCCGGAUCAUUCGGUGGUAUCUGGCUCUACAGCCUUUUAAUUUCAAG